This 71-nucleotide transfer RNA is filed under the name Neotoma lepida (desert woodrat). It matches the Rfam family "tRNA". Rfam says of the family: Transfer RNA (tRNA) molecules are approximately 80 nucleotides in length. Their secondary structure includes four short double-helical elements and three loops (D, anti-codon, and T loops). Further hydrogen bonds mediate the characteristic L-shaped molecular structure. tRNAs have two regions of fundamental functional importance: the anti-codon, which is responsible for specific mRNA codon recognition, and the 3' end, to which the tRNAs corresponding amino acid is attached (by aminoacyl-tRNA synthetases). tRNAs cope with the degeneracy of the genetic code in two manners: having more than one tRNA (with a specific anti-codon) for a particular amino acid; and 'wobble' base-pairing, i.e. permitting non-standard base-pairing at the 3rd anti-codon position. The record is from Rfam by way of RNAcentral. Lineage: Eukaryota; Metazoa; Chordata; Mammalia; Rodentia; Cricetidae.
GGGAAUGUGUCUUAUUUGNCAAAGUACUUGUCUACUGCACACAAAGCCCUGGGUUCAAUUCCCAGCACCCA